UGAUGCAUGCUACUUGGUUUUGUUGUUAUUAUAUUAACAUCACCGGGUAGACAUUCAUUAUA
This 62-nucleotide microRNA precursor is filed under the name Schmidtea mediterranea. RNAcentral describes it as "Sme-Mir-36-P20b_pre stem-loop". Lineage: Eukaryota; Metazoa; Platyhelminthes; Tricladida; Dugesiidae. The record is from RNAcentral.